GCAGUGGGGGGGUGCUAUACAUGCAGUCGAGCGGACAGAUGGGAGCUUGCUCCCUGAUGUUAGCGGCGGACGGGUGAGUAACACGUGGGUAACCUGCCUGUAAGACUGGGAUAACUCCGGGAAACCGGGGCUAAUACCGGAUGGUUGUUUGAACCGCAUGGUUCAGACAUAAAAGGUGGCUUCGGCUACCACUUACAGAUGGACCCGCGGCGCAUUAGCUAGUUGGUGAGGUAACGGCUCACCAAGGCGACGAUGCGUAGCCGACCUGAGAGGGUGAUCGGCCACACUGGGACUGAGACACGGCCCAGACUCCUACGGGAGGCAGCAGUAGGGAAUCUUCCGCAAUGGACGAAAGUCUGACGGAGCAACGCCGCGUGAGUGAUGAAGGUUUUCGGAUCGUAAAGCUCUGUUGUUAGGGAAGAACAAGUGCCGUUCAAAUAGGGCGGCACCUUGACGGUACCUAACCAGAAAGCCACGGCUAACUACGUGCCAGCAGCCGCGGUAAUACGUAGGUGGCAAGCGUUGUCCGGAAUUAUUGGGCGUAAAGGGCUCGCAGGCGGUUUCUUAAGUCUGAUGUGAAAGCCCCCGGCUCAACCGGGGAGGGUCAUUGGAAACUGGGGAACUUGAGUGCAGAAGAGGAGAGUGGAAUUCCACGUGUAGCGGUGAAAUGCGUAGAGAUGUGGAGGAACACCAGUGGCGAAGGCGACUCUCUGGUCUGUAACUGACGCUGAGGAGCGAAAGCGUGGGGAGCGAACAGGAUUAGAUACCCUGGUAGUCCACGCCGUAACGAUGAGUGCUAA
This 800-nucleotide ribosomal RNA is filed under the name Bacillus sp. JSM 2185019. RNAcentral describes it as "bacterial SSU rRNA". It matches the Rfam family "Bacterial small subunit ribosomal RNA", at positions 35 to 819 of the family's 1533-position model. Lineage: Bacteria; Bacillati; Bacillota; Bacilli; Caryophanales; Bacillaceae. The record is from RNAcentral.